RNAcentral lists this ribosomal RNA (496 nucleotides) under uncultured soil bacterium. RNAcentral describes it as "bacterial SSU rRNA". It matches the Rfam family "Bacterial small subunit ribosomal RNA", at positions 26 to 521 of the family's 1533-position model. The record is from RNAcentral.
AGAUUGAACGCUGGCGGCAUGCCUUACACAUGCAAGUCGAGCGGCAGCGCGGGGGCAACCCUGGCGGCGAGCGGCGCACGGGUGAGUAAUGCAUCGGAACGUGUCCUCUUGUGGGGGAUAACCAGUCGAAAGACUGGCUAAUACCGUAUGAGAUCGAGAGAUGAAAGCAGGGGACCCGCAAGGGCCUUGCGCGAGAGGAGCGGCCGAUGCCCGAUUAGCUAGUUGGUGGGGUAAAAAGCCCACCAAGGCGACGAUCGGUAGCUGGUUUGAGAGAACGACCAGCCACACUGGGACUGAGACACGGCCCAGACUCCUACGGGAGGCAGCAGUGGGAAUUUGGACAAUGGGGGCAACCUGAUCCAGCCAUGCCGCGUGUGUGAAGAAGCCUUCGGUGUAAAGCACUUUCGGACCGGAACGAAAUCGACGACGGGUGAAGUAUCCGUGUGGAUGAACGGUACCGAAGAAGAAGCGACCGCUAACACGUGCAGCACGCCGA